Molecule: transfer RNA, 74 nt
Filed under: Podarcis lilfordi (Lilford's wall lizard)
Lineage: Eukaryota; Metazoa; Chordata; Lepidosauria; Squamata; Lacertidae
Description: tRNA.Ile
Source: RNAcentral
GUAUAGCUAGCUCAGUUGGGUAAAGCAUGGCGCUGAUAACACGAAGGUUGCAGGUUUGAUCCCCGUAUGGGACA